Suricata suricatta (meerkat) is the source of this 572-nucleotide long non-coding RNA. RefSeq lists it as uncharacterized. Lineage: Eukaryota; Metazoa; Chordata; Mammalia; Carnivora; Herpestidae. The record is from RefSeq and is a predicted model, not a curated record. The transcript has 3 exons.
CUAACUGGAAAACCGACGCUUUUGCGCCGGGAAAAGAUGUCUGGGGAGACGAUCCGCCGCGGAGAGAGGCGAUGGGCUGUGGGGAUGGAGUCAAGGGUCUUCAGGUGUGCGCGGGUCGAGCGGCGCUCCUGCCCCGGAGGCGCUCACCUGCCCGGACAUCACUGCUCCAGCGCUCAGCGGAGGAGGGUUUCCCUUCCCUCUCCGAACCUACCCACACCUCCUUGGAGGCCCGUUCCAUUGGGAGCCGGUCCUAAAAAUCCACACUCUUCUCCCUCGCCUGGGACCAUGGGAGAAUAAUUUGGAGUUCUUUCCGGGGACCUUUACGAAAGCUUCGGACUCUUCCUGCCCUCCUCCCCGUGCCCCGCGACCAGUCAAGAAGCCGAAGUCCCUUUUCCUGAAGGCAUCUGUCCAAGGAAGCUGGAAGUGACCAUCCCGCCUGGGGCCCGUCUAUGAGAUGCAGGUCAGACUGGAGGAUGCGAAAGGAGCAGAAUGACUCAUCCAACUGCGCCCAGUAGGCACAGUGACUACAGCCUGUAAUAUUUUUGGAGACUCCUGAAAAUAUUCUCUUUAAA